AAGUCACCCAAACCAUGGCUGAGUGUCAUUUGAUAGGAAAAGGCUGGGAUCACAAGGAAGCUUUCUUUCAACCAAAAGAAGAAGUAAGAAAGAAAGAAAAAAACCAGCUGAGGUAAGCAGUGUCAAAUCCAGCUGCAUCAACAUGAGGGUGGCCAGACAAACGAGCACCUUGGCCGGGUCGCGCCAGAGAGCCCAGCCUGAAGCCUUGGCCCAGGCCAGGGAAAGGCUUGGAGGGACCUGGUGAUGCAAAGAUCCCAGCUUGGACAGGAAUCCUCUGCUCCUCUUGUUCUUCUGACCCGUCCACAUAGCUCACCUGGAAGGUGGCUGGAGAGGAAAAUGUCCUGCAGUCUGCACACACAGGAAGGCAAGCAGUGCCUUUAAACAUAUUUUGUGGAGUGGGCACCAUCCAUAGAAGUGACAGCCAGAACUCCCUGCCAGAUCUCCUUUGAAGGGGUGGACAGAUCUCCAAGGGAUCAAGCAUUUCACAGUGUGAUUCAAGCUGGAGAAGCCAGGAGGACCUUGGGCAUGUGAGGCAGGCAUGGUGUCACUAAGCUAAAUCUCCAGGCCCUCAUCCUUUAUUUGUGAUCAACACAAAAUAAAAUGAGUCCAAGUUAAGAGUAUCAGAUCCCCACAUUUAUAUAAUGCCUAUAAUUUCACAUUAGCAUGAUGUGGAAUUUUCAUAAAAGAAAGUGGAUGCAUUUCAGGGGACUACUUUUCACAUGAACUCGUGAUCAGAAAGUCUCAUUGGAAACUUUUAGUGUCAUUGUUAAAGUCAGAUACCAAUAAACUAUCACCUCUGGAAAUAUUGUGGUCCUUCAAGAGACUUGAAGAGGUGUUGCCUUUAAUCAUUAAGACUGAUUUAGGGUGGGCAGAGCACCCAGGACUGACUGAGCUGAGCUCUGUCUGGCUGGUAAGGACCCCCCAGGCAUGCCCACCAGCCACCAGUGGAACCGUGCAGGUGCCUACAACCACAGAGCCCCCCACCCCACUGCUGCUGCCUCUGGCCUCUUGGCUGUGCAGCUACCUGGUUCCACACUACAGAGGCACAAGGGGACAUAACGGCCAUUGUCCUGAGCUGCAGAUGUGAACAAGAGAGAGGGCCUCUCUCAGGCUCCCUGCUGAUAACUGAAG
This 1131-nucleotide long non-coding RNA is filed under the name Heterocephalus glaber (naked mole-rat). RNAcentral describes it as "lncRNA (ENSHGLG00100048756.1)". Lineage: Eukaryota; Metazoa; Chordata; Mammalia; Rodentia; Bathyergidae. The record is from RNAcentral.